GAAUUGUGGCUCAGUAGUAGAGUGCUCGCCUAGCAUGUGCGAGGCCCUGGGUUCGAUCCUCAGUAACA
Molecule: transfer RNA, 68 nt
Filed under: Marmota monax (woodchuck)
Lineage: Eukaryota; Metazoa; Chordata; Mammalia; Rodentia; Sciuridae
Description: tRNA.Ala
Source: RNAcentral